GAGACACCCUUAUGGGGCAAGGCUUGCUUCAGUGGGGCUUUGGUGCAUCACUGAGUCUGCCCCCUGAGUGUGUCCCU
This 77-nucleotide microRNA precursor is filed under the name Myotis lucifugus (little brown bat). RNAcentral's name for it is "mir-9229 microRNA precursor family". It matches the Rfam family "mir-9229 microRNA precursor family". Lineage: Eukaryota; Metazoa; Chordata; Mammalia; Chiroptera; Vespertilionidae. The record is from Rfam by way of RNAcentral.